GCUGUCAGGUGAGACACAUGAAGCUCAGACUAUUUUAGUAAAUAUCUUCUUGAAGUGGCUGUGAAAUUGAAUAAUAUUUUCAUUAGAUGCUGGAAACUUCAUUGGAAUCAACCCAAGAUGAUGAACCCUAAAGAUGGGACAAAGUGCAUGACAAGGUGGCCCAGAGGAAGCCAAGUGUUCUCAACUUCUACAUUGCCCCAUUCUACCAAGAGCUCACUGUGUUUGAAUGAAGAAGACCUCUAGUGAGAUUGAGACUGGUGAGGAUUCCUUCAGUCAGAAGUUAUGUUGAAAAGAUGCAGGUGGAGUGCCAAAAAAAGAGACUGAACAUAAGUUCCCUACAAGACAAAAUUAAAAGGACUGAAAAGAUAACUUUUUAUGAAACAACAAGGCACCAAGGACAUCUUAAAACACUUUGUUUGUCAGCCAUUGUCACUGCAGCUAUUUUGCUCCUCCCCUACCUCUUCAAAGAACAUCCAAGUGGGCUGUACGUCACAGACAGGAUAAAAUCCUGCGACUUGUGACUGCAGGCCAACCAACAAC
Long non-coding RNA from Coregonus clupeaformis (lake whitefish), 540 nucleotides. RefSeq lists it as uncharacterized. The transcript is spliced from 5 exons. The record is from RefSeq and is a predicted model, not a curated record. Lineage: Eukaryota; Metazoa; Chordata; Actinopteri; Salmoniformes; Salmonidae.